This 253-nucleotide ribosomal RNA is filed under the name uncultured bacterium. RNAcentral describes it as "partial 16S ribosomal RNA". It matches the Rfam family "Bacterial small subunit ribosomal RNA", at positions 524 to 776 of the family's 1533-position model. The record is from RNAcentral.
UACGGAGGGGACUAGCGUUGUUCGGAAUUACUGGGCGUAAAGCGCACGUAGGCGGAUCUGUAAGUCAGGGGUGAAAUCCCGGGGCUCAACCUCGGAACUGCCUUUGAUACUGCAAAUCUCGAGUCCGGAAGAGGUGAGUGGAAUUCCUAGUGUAGAGGUGAAAUUCGUAGAUAUUAGGAAGAACACCAGUGGCGAAGGCGGCUCACUGGCCCGUUACCGACGCUCAGGCGCGACAGCGUGGGGAGCAAACAGG